Thalassophryne amazonica is the source of this 1369-nucleotide long non-coding RNA. RefSeq lists it as uncharacterized. NCBI's taxonomy places the organism in Eukaryota, Metazoa, Chordata, Actinopteri, Batrachoidiformes, Batrachoididae. The transcript has 2 exons. The record is from RefSeq and is a predicted model, not a curated record.
GCCAGCGUGUACCCCGCCUCACGCCCUAUGACUGCUGGGAUAGGUUCCAGCCCCCAUGACACGAUCUUGAAUAAGCAGUUGAAGGUGUGUUUGUAAAGCUGUUUAUUUUUAAGAUCAGGCUUGUCUGUUAUUUUCAGUGAUGGAUAUUCUUUUAUUGUGAUGAAAAUCUCAUGCACAAAUUCCAGUUUGAAUUGUUUUUAAUAUAUAAAUGGAUAGCAGCAUCACAAAAGUAAUACAUAAAAGUUAGUCCUACUUUAAGCAGCCUUUCACAUAUGCAUAAAUAAAAGCAAACUUAUACUCAUGGUGUUCUGCCACUUAACUAAUUUACAGGUUUAAGCCUGUUCUCACAUAUUUUAAACCCAAUAAUGUUUUUUUUCCCCCUGACAGUGACUUUUAAGCUGCACUUGAUACUUGUUUACUGUGGAUGUGAUGGACAGUAGGAUAAACUGAAAUCAGAGGCAACUCUAUUUAAAAGUAAUUUUUAUCCCCUGCCAGCAGUGCUGGGAUGGGAAAUACAGAAUCAUCCUCCAUCAGUGUGUCCAUCCAGCUGACUUGUUUUUUUCUUUCAGUGCUAUAAUACAUGAAUGCUGGCUCCAAUUCAUUCAAAUACUAAUCUGUAUAAUCUUGAUGUUUCCUGAAUAUUUGGGCUUUUGUCAGUCAGCAUUUUUACAACGGAGCCACUUUAAAGACUGUGGACUCUACACAUUAUGUCAUUGUUGAAUAAUGUUUUUAACCUCUGAUUUAGUAUUCCAAAACAUAUGAUUUAUUGUCUCGUACGUUUUCCCAUUUUCAUUAUUUUUCUUGAGUGUGACUUAACACAUGAAUGCUUUUGUUACUGCUGGUGGGGGUAACUUUACUCAGCCGUGAGGUGCCUUGUAUGGAUUACAGAAUUGAAAGUAAAUGCAGUUGAAAACAUGCUCAGACUGUUUAACUGGACCAAUUUAAAGUAUAUUGAGGCUAAACUGUAAGACACCCCCCCAUUGUUAUUCAUAUAUACACCCUUGGCUGCUGUGUAAGAUCCAUUGUUCUGAGGAUUCUGUGUUUGAAAAGGUUUCACAUUGUGAAUUUUGUGUAUUAUUUCACAGAUUGUAAACCUGGGUUUGAAGCAUGUGGUGUUUUCACAUGUGGUCUGGGUUCUAAAAGGGUGUUGAAUUGCUACUAAUGAUGCAACAGUCUGCUGUUAAAUGGUGUUCUUCUGUUGAAAAGUUCCCAAAUGAGGAUUUUUGUCGUUUUUCGUACAGUUUUUAUGCUAAGGAGUAGCUGUUCUUGCCCAUUAGAAACAGGAUCGUCUUUCAGACUUUUUUUGUUGGUUGCAUAUUUCUGCCAUAUCACAUGUAAUGCAGUGAUUUCAGUUUUAAAUAAAAUUUUA